UUCGGUACAUCGGCGACAGGUGGUGCAUGGUUGUCGUCAGCUCGUGUCGUGAGAUGUUGGGUUAAGUCCCGCAACGAGCGCAGCCCCUAUUGUUAGUUGCCAUCAUUCAGUUAGGCACUCUAGCGAGACUGCCGGUAAUAAACCGGAGGAAGGUGGGGAUGACGUCAAAUCAUCAUGCCCCUUAUGACCUGGGCUACACACGUGCUACAAUGGUUGGUACAACGAGUUGCGAGUCGGUGACGGCGAGCUAAUCUCUUAAAGCCAAUCUCAGUUCGGAUUGUAGGCUGCAACUCGCCUACAUGAAGUCGGAAUCGCUAGUAAUCGCGGAUCAGCACGCCGCGGUCGAAUACGUUCCCGGGCCUU
RNAcentral lists this ribosomal RNA (363 nucleotides) under uncultured Streptococcus sp. RNAcentral's name for it is "bacterial SSU rRNA". It matches the Rfam family "Bacterial small subunit ribosomal RNA", at positions 1019 to 1382 of the family's 1533-position model. The record is from RNAcentral. Lineage: Bacteria; Bacillati; Bacillota; Bacilli; Lactobacillales; Streptococcaceae.